AGUGCCUCAAUCUAUGACAACCAGAAGUCGAACUCGGUGAAUCACUCUGAGCCGCCGGAGCGAUAAACCUCAGGCCGGCUCCUCCCCUCACACACCGGCUUUUCGGACACCGGAGGGAGUGUUGGCUUAGCGGCCCGAGCUGGUGGUGGGGCGCUGGUUUUUCUAGAACCUGCCGCUUUUCUGUGCCUUGCUCCUCGCCGACUGGGCCGGGAAAUGAAGAUUGAAUUGUUUCAGUUCUUUUAAAUAUGAAGCAGAAGAGCGCAAUUCUGCUGUGGAGUUGUGCCUUCCGUCUCCCUGCCUUAACUCCACCCCCCACCCCCCACCGGGCGCCCCCAUGCGAGGGUGUGCAGAGCUUGUAAGGACGCAACAGCCCGGGUGCCCACCACGGAAGGGUGAGCGGAGGGCUGACCUAAGCCGGACGAGUAAGCCCCUCUGGCCUUGUGCUGUAGUGUAGUUCAUUAACGAGGCUAGUAAUGCGGAAAUCAGUUUGCGGGGAGGGGUCGCUCAUUAGCACGUGCGACCUGCUAGCUCUGAGACGGGGACAGGUGCGAGGGAAGCAAGUGGUCUGGGAGACAGGGACUUGGCCUGAGAGACCUCAGGGAGACACAGAGGGAUUGUGGGUCCCUCGCAACUUGCUCUCAAGCUGUGGGCGCCCCUUCACCCAGAGAGACCUCUCCCAAGAGGCAAGGCUCCUCCUCCUGCAUUCUAGGCGCAGGCAGCGGGGGGCUGGGGGACCUGGUGCCUGGCCCCCAGCUGGGAGUCCUGGGAGGGGGUGCACAGCAGCUGGGCUCUGCGCCCCAGCCCUGCACGGAGGGUAGCCCUGGGAAUGUAGGGCAGUUUUCUGAGAACUGUUGCUUGUCCCCUUUUCUCCCCAUCGCACUGUGGAACGUAAUCUGCCUUUACAACAAAGCAGGGCCCUGGGGCAGAGGACUUGGGCCGCAGGAUCCCGGUGACCUGCCUUCAUUCCCCCUGGGGCCUGUGCCCCAGAGGUGUGGAGACUGGAGGGGGCGACACUGAAAGCCUCACCCCUCCCCCAGCCCUGCUCACGGGACUGUCUCCCUGGAGCAGCAGGGGCGACCUGGUUUUGUAAGAGGACCCAGGUACUAGGAUGGCGCCUUGAGAGGCAGGAAGUCCAGGGACAGGGCGCAGGAAGCGGCCGCCACCGCAGCCUGGAGCUCAGCUCUGAGUCAGGCCACCGCGCUUGCCUUCCUGCAGCUUCGCUUGCGGUGCCCCCACUCUCACUCCGGGCCGCCCCACCUUUCGGACUCUCUGGAUCAGUCCCCCUUGAAGGCUCUGUACGCCUCGCAGAAGCGUUAGCUGGUGACCCCUCAGCUAAUGGGGGGUGCUCUGUCCCCCACUGUGCUCCCAGAGCUCCCAGCCCAGCACUGCGUCCCCCUGUUAAUCACACCUCGUGGGUAAGGGAUCUGGCCUCAAGGGCGUGAGGGGCUCAGUGAGAAUGGACUCUCGGAGAUUUCCUGCUCAUCCCUCCCCAAAGCCCUUUGGAGAGGGCUUCAUUCAACGAAAGUGGGCGGCACGUGUCAGUGGGGUGACGGGUGGAGAACCGAGAGCGGCUACCAGCCUUCUCUGAGGGGCAGGGCCUGGGCUUGGCCUGGCCACUGCCCAGAACCCUUGGCUCCCGCUGCCCCCCAGAACCCCGGGCCACGCAGUGCAGAGCGAGGCUGGCUAGUCUGUUUACGCCAGACCCUCAGUGGCUUAGCUCUGCGGGGCGCCGUGCUCUUUUCGAAGUGUCUUGUGUGUACAUCUGAGCUUUACGGUGCCACGAGCCCCACAGGGCGGACAGUCUUAUCCCCAUUUCAUAGAUCCACAAACUGAGGCUCGUAGAGGCUACGCAACUCGCCACGAGUUACAGCCCAUUUGUUGGAGCCCCGCUGGCCUCGCAGGUCACUGUGCUGCCCCCAAAGCGCCUUCUUGUCUCUGCUAGAGCUCAUAUGUUCCUGCCUUUCUUUUUUAAGAUUUUCUUUAUUUAGCCCUGGCUGGCGUAGCUCCGUGGAUUGAGCGCGGGCUGUGAACCAAAGUGUCGCAGGUUCGAUU
Molecule: long non-coding RNA, 2052 nt
Organism: Phyllostomus hastatus (greater spear-nosed bat)
Lineage: Eukaryota; Metazoa; Chordata; Mammalia; Chiroptera; Phyllostomidae
Exons: 3
Source: RefSeq, a predicted model, not a curated record